GAUGAACGCUAGCGAUAGGCCUAACACAUGCAAGUCGAGGGGCAGCAUGAUUGUAGCAAUACAAUUGAUGGCGACCGGCGCACGGGUGAGUAACACGUAUGCAACCUACCUACAACAGGGGAAUAACCCGGAGAAAUUCGGACUAAUACCGCAUAACAUAGGGAUUCCGCAUGGAAAUAUUUGUUAAAGAUUUAUCGGUUGUAGAUGGGCCUGCGUUCCAUUAGCCGGUUGGUGAGGUAACGGCUCACAAAAGCAACGAUGGAUAGGGGAACUGAGAGGUUUAUCCCCCACACUUGAAAUGAGACACGGACCAGACUCCUACGGGAGGAAGCAGUGAGGAAUAUUGGUCAAUGGGCUAGAGCCUGAACCAGCCAAAUCGCGUGAAGGACGACUGCCCGAUGGGUUGUAAACUUCUUUUAUAUGGGAAUAAAAAGGGGAACGUGUUCCCCAUUGCAAGUACCAUACGAAUAAGCAUCGGCUAACUCCGUGCCAGCAGCCGCAGUAA
RNAcentral lists this ribosomal RNA (505 nucleotides) under uncultured bacterium. RNAcentral describes it as "partial 16S ribosomal RNA". It matches the Rfam family "Bacterial small subunit ribosomal RNA", at positions 28 to 523 of the family's 1533-position model. The record is from RNAcentral.